Molecule: ribosomal RNA, 518 nt
Filed under: uncultured bacterium
Lineage: Bacteria
Description: bacterial SSU rRNA
Rfam family: Bacterial small subunit ribosomal RNA
Source: RNAcentral
AGAGUUUGAUCCUGGCUCAGAUUGAACGCUGGCGGCAUGCUUUACACAUGCAAGUCGAACGGCAGCACGGGGGCAACCCUGGUGGCGAGUGGCGAACGGGUGAGUAAUACAUCGGAACGUAUCCUUGAGUGGGGGAUAACGCAGCGAAAGUUGUGCUAAUACCGCAUGAGCUCUGAGGAGGAAAGUGGGGGACCGUAAGGCCUCACGCUGAAGGGGCGGCCGAUGUCCGAUUAGCUAGUUGGUGAGGUAAAGGCUCACCAAGGCUUCGAUCGGUAGCUGGUCUGAGAGGAUGAUCAGCCACACUGGGACUGAGACACGGCCCAGACUCCUACGGGAGGCAGCAGUGGAGAAUUUUGGACAAUGGGGGCAACCCUGAUCCAGCCAUGCCGCGUGAGUGAAGAAGGCCUUCGGGUUGUAAAGCUCUCUCGUGAGGGAAGAAACGGCCAUAGUGAAUAGCUGUGGUUACUGACGGUACCUCAAGAAGAAGCACCGGCUAACUACGUGCCAGCCGCCGCGGU